This 1259-nucleotide ribosomal RNA is filed under the name metagenome. RNAcentral's name for it is "SSU rRNA". It matches the Rfam family "Eukaryotic small subunit ribosomal RNA", at positions 573 to 1772 of the family's 1831-position model. The record is from RNAcentral.
GCCGCGGUAAUUCCAGCUCCAAUAGCGUAUAUUAAAGUUGUUGCAGUUAAAAAGCUCGUAGUUUGAAUUAAGGGCCACCCGGUUACGUGUGCUGCCGGAAGGUAGUAACUGUAGCCGGGACCCUCCUGCCCGGUCUUCUCUGCUCCGCUCUUAAGUGAGUGGGGUGGAGAUCCGGGCCGUUUACUUUGAAAAAAUUAGAGUGUUCAAAGCAGGCUAGCUGAAUGCCUUGAAUAGAUUAGCAUGGGAUAAUGAAACACGACUUCGUCUUAUGUUUCGUUGGUUUUAAAGGCGGAGUAAUGAUUAAUAGGAACGGUCGGGGUGAUCCAUAUUCAAUUGUCAGAGGUGAAAUUCUUAGAUUUUUUGAAGAUGAACCAAGGCGAAAGCAUUUCACAAGUACGCUCCCAUUAAUCAAGAACGAAAGUUAGGGGAUCGAAGACGAUCAGAUACCGUCGUAGUCUUAACCAUAAACUAUGCGGACCAAGGAUCAGGAGAAGUCCUUUGUACGACUCCCUUGGAACUUUGUGAGAAAUCACGAGUCUUUGCGUUCUGGGGGGAGUAUGGUCGCAAGGCUGAAACUUAAAGGAAUUGACGGAAGGGCACACCAGGAGUGGAGCCUGCGGCUUGAUUUGACCCAACACGGGAAAACUCACCAGGUCAGGACAUAGUCAGGAUUGACAGAUUGAUAGUUCUUUCUUAAUUUCUAUGGGUGGUGGUGCAUGGCCGUUCUUAGUUGGUGGAGUGAUUUGUCUGGUUAAUUCCGAUAACGAACGAGACCUCAGCUUGUUAACUAGUGCUAGUGAGCUUCUACCGGGUGAAGGGUUGGGGCCUUGGCAGUCCUGGGAAACUGGGGCUGUCAACUCCGGCUUGGAUCCUUGAUGACUCGCUGGCUUUUACUUCUUAAAAGGACUAUUCACGUCUAGUGAAUGGAAGUGAGGCAAUAACAGGUCUGUGAUGCCCUUAGAUGUCCUGGGCCGCACGCGCGCUACACUGACAGGUGCAACGAGUUUUACCUGCUUUGAAAGGAGUGGGUAAUCUUUUAAAAGUUUGUCGUGACAGGGAUCGAUUAUUGUAAUUAUUAGUCGUGAACGAGGAAUUCCUAGUAAGCGCAAGUCACUAGCUUGCGCUGAUUACGUCCCUGCCCUUUGUACACACCGCCCGUCGCUCCUACCGAUUGAAUGAUCCGGUGAAUACUUUGGAUUUUGGGGAGCUCGGUGGGGCAACUCAUCGAACCUCGGGAGAAAAUGCGUAAACCUUAUCAU